GGUUAAGCGACUAAGCGUACACGGUGGAUGCCCCGGCAGUCAGAGGCGAUGAAGGACGUGCUAAUCUGCGAUAAGCGUCGGUAAGGUGAUAUGAACCGUUAUAACCGGCGAUUUCCGAAUGGGGAAACCCAGUGUGUUUCGACACACUAUCAUUAACUGAAUCCAUAGGUUAAUGAGGCGAACCGGGGGAACUGAAACAUCUAAGUACCCCGAGGAAAAGAAAUCAACCGAGAUUCCCCCAGUAGCGGCGAGCGAACGGGGAGCAGCCCAGAGCCUGAAUCAGUGUGUGUGUUAGUGGAAGCGUCUGGAAAGGCGCGCGAUACAGGGUGACAGCCCCGUACACAAAAAUGCACAUGCUGUGAGCUCGAUGAGUAGGGCGGGACACGUGGUAUCCUGUCUGAAUAUGGGGGACCAUCCUCCAAGGCUAAAUACUCCUGACUGACCGAUAGUGAACCAGUACCGUGAGGGAAAGGCGAAAAGAACCCCGGCGAGGGGAGUGAAAAAGAACCUGAAACCGUGUACGUACAAGCAGUGGGAGCACGCUUAGGCGUGUGACUGCGUACCUUUUGUAUAAUGGGUCAGCGACUUAUAUUCUGUAGCAAGGUUAACCGAAUAGGGGAGCCGAAGGGAAACCGAGUCUUAACUGGGCGUUAAGUUGCAGGGUAUAGACCCGAAACCCGGUGAUCUAGCCAUGGGCAGGUUGAAGGUUGGGUAACACUAACUGGAGGACCGAACCGACUAAUGUUGAAAAAUUAGCGGAUGACUUGUGGCUGGGGGUGAAAGGCCAAUCAAACCGGGAGAUAGCUGGUUCUCCCCGAAAGCUAUUUAGGUAGCGCCUCGUGAAUUCAUCUCCGGGGGUAGAGCACUGUUUCGGCAAGGGGGUCAUCCCGACUUACCAACCCGAUGCAAACUGCGAAUACCGGAGAAUGUUAUCACGGGAGACACACGGCGGGUGCUAACGUCCGUCGUGAAGAGGGAAACAACCCAGACCGCCAGCUAAGGUCCCAAAGUCAUGGUUAAGUGGGAAACGAUGUGGGAAGGCCCAGACAGCCGGGAUGUUGGCUUAGAAGCAGCCAUCAUUUAAAGAAAGCGUAAUAGCUCACUGGUCGAGUCGGCCUGCGCGGAAGAUGUAACGGGGCUAAACCAUGCACCGAAGCUGCGGCAGCGACACUAUGUGUUGUUGGGUAGGGGAGCGUUCUGUAAGCCUGUGAAGGUGUGCUGUGAGGCAUGCUGGAGGUAUCAGAAGUGCGAAUGCUGACAUAAGUAACGAUAAAGCGGGUGAAAAGCCCGCUCGCCGGAAGACCAAGGGUUCCUGUCCAACGUUAAUCGGGGCAGGGUGAGUCGACCCCUAAGGCGAGGCCGAAAGGCGUAGUCGAUGGGAAACAGGUUAAUAUUCCUGUACUUGGUGUUACUGCGAAGGGGGACGGAGAAGGCUAUGUUGGCCGGGCGACGGUUGUCCCGGUUUAAGCGUGUAGGCUGGUUUUCCGGGCAAAUCCGGAAAAUCAAGGCUGAGGCGUGAUGACGAGGCACUACGGUGCUGAAGCAACAAAUGCCCUGCUUCCGGGAAAAGCCUCUAAGCAUCAGGUAACAUCAAAUCGUACCCCAAACCGACACAGGUGGUCAGGUAGAGAAUACCAAGGCGCUUGAGAGAACUCGGGUGAAGGAACUAGGCAAAAUGGUGCCGUAACUUCGGGAGAAGGCACGCUGAUAUGUAGGUGAAGUCCCUCGCGGAUGGAGCUGAAAUCAGUCGAAGAUACCAGCUGGCUGCAACUGUUUAUUAAAAACACAGCACUGUGCAAACACGAAAGUGGACGUAUACGGUGUGACGCCUGCCCGGUGCCGGAAGGUUAAUUGAUGGGGUUAGCCGCAAGGCGAAGCUCUUGAUCGAAGCCCCGGUAAACGGCGGCCGUAACUAUAACGGUCCUAAGGUAGCGAAAUUCCUUGUCGGGUAAGUUCCGACCUGCACGAAUGGCGUAAUGAUGGCCGGGCUGUCUCCACCCGAGACUCAGUGAAAUUGAACUCGCUGUGAAGAUGCAGUGUACCCGCGGCAAGACGGAAAGACCCCGUGAACCUUUACUAUAGCUUGACACUGAACAUUGAGCCUUGAUGUGUAGGAUAGGUGGGAGGCUUUGAAGUGUGGACGCCAGUCUGCAUGGAGCCGACCUUGAAAUACCACCCUUUAAUGUUUGAUGUUCUAACGUUGACCCGUAAUCCGGGUUGCGGACAGUGUCUGGUGGGUAGUUUGACUGGGGCGGUCUCCUCCUAAAGAGUAACGGAGGAGCACGAAGGUUGGCUAAUCUCGGUCGGACAUCAGGAGGUUAGUGCAAUGGCAUAAGCCAGCUUGACUGCGAGCGUGACGGCGCGAGCAGGUGCGAAAGCAGGUCAUAGUGAUCCGGUGGUUCUGAAUGGAAGGGCCAUCGCUCAACGGAUAAAAGGUACUCCGGGGAUAACAGGCUGAUACCGCCCAAGAGUUCAUAUCGACGGCGGUGUUUGGCACCUCGAUGUCGGCUCAUCACAUCCACGGGGCUGAAGUAGGUCCCAAGGGUAUGGCUGUUCGCCAUUUAAAGUGGUACGCGAGCUGGGUUUAGAACGUCGUGAGACAGUUCGGUCCCUAUCUGCCGUGGGCGCUGGAGAACUGAGGGGGCUGCUCCUAGUACGAGAGGACCGGAGUGGACGCAUCACUGGUGUUCGGGUUGUCAUGCCAAUGGCACUGCCCGGUAGCUAAAUGCGGAAGAGAUAAGUGCUGAAAGCAUCUAAGCACGAAACUUGCCCCGAGAUGAGUUCUCCCUGACUCCUUGAGAGUCCUGAAGGAACGUUGAAGACGACGACGUUGAUAGGCCGGGUGUGUAAGCGCAGCGAUGCGUUGAGCUAACCGGUACUAAUGAACCGUGAGGCUUAACCUU
RNAcentral lists this ribosomal RNA (2903 nucleotides) under Escherichia coli. RNAcentral's name for it is "23S ribosomal RNA". It matches the Rfam family "Bacterial large subunit ribosomal RNA". The record is from RNAcentral. Lineage: Bacteria; Pseudomonadati; Pseudomonadota; Gammaproteobacteria; Enterobacterales; Enterobacteriaceae.